This 252-nucleotide ribosomal RNA is filed under the name uncultured bacterium. RNAcentral's name for it is "partial 16S ribosomal RNA". It matches the Rfam family "Bacterial small subunit ribosomal RNA", at positions 524 to 776 of the family's 1533-position model. The record is from RNAcentral.
UACGUAGGUCCCGAGCGUUGUCCGGAAUUACUGGGUGUAAAGGGAGCGUAGGCGGGACUGCAAGUUGGGUGUCAAAUCUACCGGCUCAACCGGUAGCCGCACUCAAAACUGCAGUUCUUGAGUGAAGUAGAGGCAGGCGGAAUUCCUAGUGUAGCGGUGAAAUGCGUAGAUAUUAGGAGGAACACCAGUGGCGAAGGCGGCCUGCUGGGCUUUUACUGACGCUGAGGCUCGAAAGUGUGGGGAGCAAACGGG